Molecule: ribosomal RNA, 465 nt
Filed under: uncultured bacterium
Lineage: Bacteria
Description: bacterial SSU rRNA
Rfam family: Bacterial small subunit ribosomal RNA
Source: RNAcentral
CCUACGGGCGGCAGCAGUGGGGAAUAUUGCACAAUGGGGGAAACCCUGAUGCAGCCAUGCCGCGUGUGUGAAGAAGGCCUUCGGGUUGUAAAGCACUUUCAGUAGGGAGGAAGGUAGUGUAGUUAACACCUGCAUUAUUUGACGUUACCUACAGAAGAAGCACCGGCUAACUCCGUGCCAGCAGCCGCGGUAAUACGGAGGGUGCGAGCGUUAAUCGGAAUUACUGGGCGUAAAGCGCAUGCAGGCGGCCUGUUAAGUCAGAUGUGAAAGCCCGGGGCUUAACCUCGGAAUUGCAUUUGAAACUGGCAGGCUAGAGUCUUGUAGAGGGGGGUAGAAUUUCAGGUGUAGCGGUGAAAUGCGUAGAGAUCUGAAGGAAUACCAGUGGCGAAGGCGGCCCCCUGGACAAAGACUGACGCUCAGAUGCGAAAGCGUGGGGAGCAAACAGGAUUAGAUACCCGGGUAGUC